RNAcentral lists this long non-coding RNA (1886 nucleotides) under Oreochromis niloticus (Nile tilapia). RNAcentral describes it as "lncRNA (ENSONIG00000028776.1)". Lineage: Eukaryota; Metazoa; Chordata; Actinopteri; Cichliformes; Cichlidae. The record is from RNAcentral.
CUAAGACCCACAACUGAAAAUGUCUGCAUGUGUUGUUACUUUAAUUCUUAAUAUUGAAUGAAAUAAUCUUCGAUUGUUUUUACAGGUGAGAAUGAAUUAGCAGUUAUGUUAAUGAAAGAUUAAUAGUUUAGGAACAAGAACUGAACAAUAUCCUGCCUUCCAAGGUUUUUUUCAUUGCAACUGCAGAUGCCUGUUGUGCAAAACAGCCGCACCCUUUACUGUAAAUGAAAAUGAAAGUGAAUAUUUGACUGAGUAAAGAACAAACACACAUAGCAGUUCAAAUAUUCAAUGCCAACUAUGUGAGGAAGAAGCGCAAACGAGGCACAUCAUGAUUUGCCCUCCAUGUGGAAAUAAACUCGAAGGGUCAUUUGAAAUCUGUCCUGGAUGUGGCUUCAAGUUAUCUGCCCUGACUGAAAAAAAUGCUCAAGAUGGUGCCACAUCAGCACAUCCAAUUUCAACCACUGCUGAGGAGAAAAACCAAAAGAAAGAUCAAGACCAUGCUGUUAAAGAAAGCACUACUCAAAUACAGGUGACAAGGCUAAGAAAUACAUGUUAUAUUUGUGAAAUUACAUAUGUAAUAGGUAAUUUAUCCAGCAAUUUUGAUUGAGAAAUAAAAAUAAAAAUCCUCUUUUUGAAAGUGAAACAUUGUCCUGCCUGCUUGUUUCAUACCAAAGUGAUCAACUGCAGUAAACAAGCUCUUAAAAACAGAGUAACCAGUUUCUGGAGACCUUUCAAGUUCAGCUUACGCAAAUAUUUCUUGUUCAGACAGUGUGCUAACUUACACGUUUCACUAAGGUAUGAGACUGCAAAGAUGAACCUUAUCUUUGACAUAAAAAGUGGGACAACUUUUUAUGUAUAUUAGAUUAUUUGUAUUAAAUAAAAAGAUGCUUAAUUUCUGCCUCCAGAGAAAACUAAGAUAUACUUAUCAAUUUGAAAAUGGUUUUUGAUGAACUAACAAUGUAGCUUUUCUUCAGGAACAGUUGGCCACUGGUGAAUCAGAACCAACCAGAGAGGAUGCUACAUCAUCAGAUAUCAUUACAGGCCCAGCCGGGAACUCAGAUGUUAAUAAGAACCACACAAACACAGAACAAAAUAAAUUCACAAAACAGACUAGCAGGAAAAAAGACAAAGUAGUCAAAGAUAAGAAAUGUUAUUCAGAUGAUCAAAAUAUCCACAAAAGACAGAAUUCUACAAGCCUCAGCCUACCAACAAAGGGAACUAUCAAAAAGACCAAGGUAUUGUAAAGUCAAACAGAGUUUUAACCCUCAAACUGAAUUUUUCCACAGAAAUGCAAUAUCAUAAUAAGUAUAUGUUAUCAUGUUUUUUAUUAUACAUAAUAUAACAAUAAAUAUGUCAUUUAUCUACCGAUGUUUAUGAAACUUCCUCUUUCUGAAUAUGAAAAACUGUUCUGUUCUCUUUUUACACCAAGUUUAUCCAUUUCAGUCAGGACAGUUUGGGUUGCCAUAAAGCUGUAAAUACUUUUCCGUUAUGAUGUACAUUUGUAUGUUCAUAAAAAUGGUUAGAGAUGUAACCUACCAUGACAAUAAUCAGCACAUCAAAUUUUAACCACAGCCGAGAAGAAAAACCAGUAAGACGAUCAAGAUCGGGCUUCGAAAGAUGUUUAAGAAAAACAAGAAAACAUCGCCCAAGAGAACUAAGGUAUUAUCAGUUCAAAUAAACUGUUCUAACACUUAAACUGAAUUUGUACAAAAUGCAAAAUCACAACAUCAGUAAAAACAUUUUUUCUUUUAUUAUAGUCAUGUAAUGAUUUUGCCAGUGUGAAAUCAGUUUUAACUGUGUAAUAUUAAUUAAUGGUCCAUUUUGAUAUACAAAUAAAAGUGAGUGAGAGAGAGAAAAGAGGACAGUUAGAGAAUCAGAUAGUGCAG